Molecule: long non-coding RNA, 241 nt
Organism: Dendronephthya gigantea
Lineage: Eukaryota; Metazoa; Cnidaria; Anthozoa; Malacalcyonacea; Nephtheidae
Exons: 3
Source: RefSeq, a predicted model, not a curated record
UUGGCAUUUAAAUUUGUUACAAUUUAUUUAAAUUUAAAGGGAAUUUUGCUUGAAUAAAGAAGUAAAUUGAUGAAGAAAGUUGCCGUGAUUGGUUUAUGGUACGUUCAUCGUGGUUCGGGUUCCUUGUCAAUUCUUGAGCAACUCUAAGAAUCCAAGCGAGAAGGAUGCAUUAUAUAAACUUUGGCUUGGAAGGCAAACCUUUGAAAAAGACGAAAAACAAUGCAACCAACCAGAUGAAAGG